AUGUCAUCCCGUGAGGUGACAAAGACGCAGUAUACGAAAUUCUUUAAGAAUGGAAUAGUUUUUUUAAAGAAGUCUUACUCAGAGAGCCUAUUGCUGUA
This 98-nucleotide small RNA is filed under the name Streptococcus sp. oral taxon 058 str. F0407. RNAcentral's name for it is "Streptococcus sRNA SpF44". It matches the Rfam family "Streptococcus sRNA SpF44". Lineage: Bacteria; Bacillati; Bacillota; Bacilli; Lactobacillales; Streptococcaceae. The record is from Rfam by way of RNAcentral.